This 440-nucleotide ribosomal RNA is filed under the name uncultured bacterium. RNAcentral's name for it is "bacterial SSU rRNA". It matches the Rfam family "Bacterial small subunit ribosomal RNA", at positions 958 to 1397 of the family's 1533-position model. The record is from RNAcentral.
AACGCGAAGAACCUUACCCAGGUUUGACAUGCAGAGGAAGUGGGCAGAGAUGUCCACGCCCUUCGGGGCCUCUGCACAGGUGCUGCAUGGCUGUCGUCAGCUCGUGCCGUGAGGUGUUGGGUUAAGUCCCGCAACGAGCGCAACCCUUAUCGUUAGUUGCCAACAGGUGAAGCUGGGAACUCUAGCGAGACUGCCUGGGUUAACCAGGAGGAAGGUGAGGAUGACGUCAAGUCCGCAUGGCCCUUAUGUCUGGGGCUACACACGUGCUACAAUGGCCGGUACAGAAGGAAGCGAAACCGCGAGGUGGAGCAAAUCCUAAAAAGCCGGCCCCAGUUCAGAUUGUAGUCUGCAACUCGACUACAUGAAGACGGAAUUGCUAGUAAUGGCGAGUCAGCAACAUCGCCGUGAAUACGUUCCCGGGCCUUGUACACACCGGCUAC